CCAAAUGGUGGCGCAGGUUCUAGGACUGGGGAGAAAAGAAUCCAUCUCCAUCGGAGGACUGAGCGGGCAUUCGGCCGCAGACAUGCCGGAGAACGCAAGCACAAAAGGGGCCUUUCUGAAUGCGGCCACAGGGAACAGCAACUCUGGCGGCAAUCGCAGUUCUUAGCAGGAUAAAGAUAAACCGGCUCAGAUCCGCUUCAGCAACAUUUCUGCGGGGAAAGAGAGCUAAUUUCAGAUGGUGGAGCACCAGAAAUAGACUUGGCAUUACACUUGAAUGAAUAGUCACGUGGUUUAAGUGGCAUGGAAUCUUUUUGCGUUCCUGCUUAUGGAGAGGCUCUGGGAAUUAUGCCAUUCACCCCGCCUUAAAUGCAGGCCUUAAUCUGAUUGAUACUGUUACAGAGCUGGGACAGAUAUGCGCAAGAAGAGAAAACUGUUGGCAUUAAUGUCAGAAAGGUGAACACUCAAAGAAAUGACUAAAGGAAGAGGCAGUACUCUUAACUAGUACACUACCCUAAGUUUGGAACUUGGCUCCUUUAUAGAAUCACUGCGUUAGACACUUACUGUCAGGCCUGCAGUCAUAUUCCGUUUAGGAUUUUGGCUUGCCACACACACACAUUUUCUUUACUAUGCUGUU
Thamnophis elegans (Western terrestrial garter snake) is the source of this 634-nucleotide long non-coding RNA. RefSeq lists it as uncharacterized. The transcript has 3 exons. NCBI's taxonomy places the organism in Eukaryota, Metazoa, Chordata, Lepidosauria, Squamata, Natricidae. The record is from RefSeq and is a predicted model, not a curated record.